GACGAACGCUGGCGGCGUGCUUAACACAUGCAAGUCGAACGGAAAGGCCCUGCUUUUGUGGGGUGCUCGAGUGGCGAACGGGUGAGUAACACGUGAGUAACCUGCCCUUGACUUUGGGAUAACUUCAGGAAACUGGGGCUAAUACCGGAUAGGAGCUCCUGCUGCAUGGUGGGGGUUGGAAAGUUUCGGCGGUUGGGGAUGGACUCGCGGCUUAUCAGCUUGUUGGUGGGGUAGUGGCUUACCAAGGCUUUGACGGGUAGCCGGCCUGGGAGGGUGACCGGCAACAUUGGGACGGAGAUACGGCCCAGACUCCUACGGGGGGCAGCAGUGGGGAAUAUUGCACAAUGGGCGGAAGCCUGAUGCAGCAACGCCGCGUGCGGGAUGACGGCCUUCGGGUUGUAAACCGCUUUCGCCUGUGACGAAGCGUGAGUGACGGUAAUGGGUAAAGAAGCACCGGCUAACUACGUG
This 468-nucleotide ribosomal RNA is filed under the name uncultured bacterium. RNAcentral's name for it is "partial 16S ribosomal RNA". It matches the Rfam family "Bacterial small subunit ribosomal RNA", at positions 28 to 507 of the family's 1533-position model. The record is from RNAcentral.